CCUACGGGUGGCAGCAGUGAGGAAUAUUGGUCAAUGGGCUUACGCCUGAACCAGCCAAGUCGCGUGAGGGAAGACUGCCCUAUGGGUUGUAAACCUCUUUUGUCAGGGAGCAACGCCGGCUACGUGUAGCCGGACUGAGAGUACCUGAAGAAAACGCAUCGGCUAACUCCGUGCCAGCAGCCGCGGUUAUACGGAGGAUGCGAGCGUUAUCCGGAUUUAUUGGGUGUAAAGGGGGCGUAGGCGGAAUGCCAAGUCAGCGGUAAAAUCGCGGGGCUCAACCUCGCUCCGCCGUUGAAACUGGCGGUCUUGAGUGGGCGAGAGGUAUGCGGAAUGCGUGGUGUAGCGGUGAAAUGCAGAGAUAUCACGCAGAACGCCGAUUGCGAAGGCAGCAUACCGGCGCCCAACUGACGCUGAGGCACGAAAGCGUGGGUAUCGAACAGGAUUAGAUACCCUGGUAGUC
RNAcentral lists this ribosomal RNA (460 nucleotides) under uncultured bacterium. RNAcentral describes it as "partial 16S ribosomal RNA". It matches the Rfam family "Bacterial small subunit ribosomal RNA", at positions 338 to 795 of the family's 1533-position model. The record is from RNAcentral.